UUUUCCAAAGGAGAUGGCAUGCCUCCCGAAGCAUGUGCUUCGAACCAUCGCGUUCUGACACGUCGUGAUUGAUGAUGCCUGCAACGCC
RNAcentral lists this non-coding RNA (88 nucleotides) under Kushneria marisflavi. Its description in RNAcentral is "Fluoride sequence". It matches the Rfam family "Fluoride riboswitch aptamer (crcB RNA motif)". Lineage: Bacteria; Pseudomonadati; Pseudomonadota; Gammaproteobacteria; Oceanospirillales; Halomonadaceae. The record is from RNAcentral.